RNAcentral lists this ribosomal RNA (253 nucleotides) under uncultured bacterium. RNAcentral describes it as "partial 16S ribosomal RNA". It matches the Rfam family "Bacterial small subunit ribosomal RNA", at positions 524 to 776 of the family's 1533-position model. The record is from RNAcentral.
UACGUAGGGGGCAAGCGUUGUCCGGAAUCAUUGGGCGUAAAGAGCGUGUAGGCGGUCCGGUAAGUCGGCUGUGAAAGUCCAGGGCUCAACCCUGGGAUGCCGGUCGAUACUGCCGGACUAGAGUUCGGAAGAGGCGAGUGGAAUUCCCGGUGUAGCGGUGAAAUGCGCAGAUAUCGGGAGGAACACCAGUGGCGAAGGCGACUACCUGGCCUGUUCUUGACGCUGAGGCGCGAAGGCCAGGGGAGCAAACGGG